CCUACGGGUGGCAGCAGUGAGAAAUAGUGGUCAAUGGACGAGAGUCUGAACCAGCCAAGUAGCGUGAAGGAUGACUGCCCUAUGGGUUGUAAACUUCUGUUAUAGGGGAAUAAAAUGUGCCACGUGUGGGAUUUUGUAUGUACCAGAUGAAUAAGGAUCGGCUAACUCCGUGCCAGCAGCCGCGGUAAUACGGAGGAUCCGAGCGUUAUCCGGAUUUAUUUGGUUUAAAGGGAGCGUAGGUGGAUUGUUAAGUCCGUUGUGAAAGUUUGCGGCUCAACCGUAAAAUUGCAGUUGAAACUGGCAGUCUUGAGUACAGUCGCGGUGGUCGGCAUUCGUGGUGUAGCGG
This 346-nucleotide ribosomal RNA is filed under the name uncultured bacterium. Its description in RNAcentral is "partial 16S ribosomal RNA". It matches the Rfam family "Bacterial small subunit ribosomal RNA", at positions 338 to 681 of the family's 1533-position model. The record is from RNAcentral.